Zingiber officinale is the source of this 398-nucleotide long non-coding RNA. RefSeq lists it as uncharacterized. Lineage: Eukaryota; Viridiplantae; Streptophyta; Magnoliopsida; Zingiberales; Zingiberaceae. The transcript is spliced from 2 exons. The record is from RefSeq and is a predicted model, not a curated record.
CGAGAAGAUUCAUGCUGGGCAGUGCUUAACAGGUACAGAUGCGUGCUUUAUGUGUAAGAAGUCAGGACACUUCGCGAGGGAAUGCCCACCGCUCAGGGAGCCAACCAAAGGGAGAGUAUUUGCGAUGACUCAAGAGCGGUGGAUCCGGACACGGCUAUUAUCACAGGUGAGGACGUGUCUCCGGACACGGCGGAGGGCCUACGGACGGAGUAGGCGAGGAGGCGAGAUGGACGCAUGGCGUUGUCCGGAUAUUAGGAGUGCUGAGUUUAGGUGCUUCACGGGAAGGGUCCUUGCUUCGGAGAGGUCAAGGGUUUUUGAACGGAAUUUUAUUUGUCAUACCUUGUGAGAGAUGUUGAUUUUUACUUUCGAUAAAACAGAAUGUUUGAUUUGGUAUCGUG